CCAUUUGGGAACUCCUGCGUCGAUAACGGGUGUGUGAUGAGCCUCAGGACGUUUAAACACUUUCAGCAAGGGAACAACCAUUAUUAACUAAUACUUAUAUUAACUGAUAUUACCUGCAAAGAAGUACCGGCUAACUCCGUGCCAGCAGCCGCGGUAAUACGGAGGGUACAAGCGUUAAUCGGAAUUAUUGGGCGUAAAGAGUACGUAGGUGGUAUAUUAAGUCAGAUGUGAAAUACUUAAGCUUAACUUAAGAACUGCAUUUGAAACUAAUAAACUAGAGUUUUAUAGAGGGGAGUAGAAUUCCAAGUGUAGCGGUGAAAUGCGUAGAUAUUUGGAGGAAUACCAGAGGCGAAGGCGACUCCCUGGGUAAUAACUGGCACUGAGGUACGAAAGCUUGGGGAGCAAACAGGAUUAGAUACCCUGGUAGUCCAUGCUGUAAACGAUGUCAAUUUGAAGAUUGUACAUAUUAUUAUUUUUUAUAAUUUUCGUAGCUAACGCAUUCAAAUUGACCGCCUGGGGAUUACGACCGCAAGGUUAAAACUCAAAUGAAUUGACGUGGGACCCGCAACAAGCGGUGGAGCAUGUGGUUCUAAUUCGACUACAACGCGAAAAACUUACUACUCUUGACAUCUAUU
This 635-nucleotide ribosomal RNA is filed under the name endosymbiont of Sphenophorus levis. Its description in RNAcentral is "bacterial SSU rRNA". It matches the Rfam family "Bacterial small subunit ribosomal RNA", at positions 368 to 992 of the family's 1533-position model. Lineage: Bacteria; Pseudomonadati; Pseudomonadota; Gammaproteobacteria. The record is from RNAcentral.